This 490-nucleotide ribosomal RNA is filed under the name uncultured bacterium. RNAcentral describes it as "partial 16S ribosomal RNA". It matches the Rfam family "Bacterial small subunit ribosomal RNA", at positions 30 to 507 of the family's 1533-position model. The record is from RNAcentral.
AUUGAACGCUGGCGGCAGGCCUAACACAUGCAAGUCGAACGGUAACAGGAAACAGCUUGCUGUUUCGCUGACGAGUGGCGGACGGGUGAGUAAUGUCUGGGAAACUGCCUGAUGGAGGGGGAUAACUACUGGAAACGGUAGCUAAUACCGCAUAACGUCGCAAGACCAAAGAGGGGGACCCUCGGGCCUCUUGCCAUCGGAUGUGCCCAGAUGGGAUUAGCUUGUUGGUGGGGUAACGGCUCACCAAGGCGACGAUCCCUAGCUGGUCUGAGAGGAUGACCAGCCACACUUGAACUGAGACACGGUCCCGACUCCUACGGGAGGCAGCAGUGGGGAAUAUUGCACAAUGGGCGCAAGCCUGAUGCAGCCAUGCCGCGUGUAUGAAGAAGGCCUUCGGGUUGUAAAGUACUUUCAGCGGGGAGGAAGGGAGUAAAGUUAAUACCUUUGCUCAUUGACGUUACCCGCAGAAGAAGCACCGGCUAACUCCGUG